CGGGACAUGUUCCACCUGCGCCUCUUUGUGGACACAGACUCCGAUGUUAGGCUGUCUCGAAGAGUUCUCCGGGAUGUGCAGCGAGGAAGGGACCUGGAGCAGAUCCUCACCCAGUACACCGCCUUUGUGAAACCAGCCUUUGAGGAGUUCUGCCUGCCGAGGCCAGGAACUGUGGGUGUUGUCACCUACCUGGGCAGCAGUGAAGCUGUAAUCAGGCAAGCACCUGCAGGUUCAGUCCGGCUUAAUCUUCUCCUUCACUGUUGAGACCCCAUCUCUCACCUAUCUGAGGCUGUCCCAACCUGCCAAUGCCACCAACAUCCAGCCUUUCAUCCCGCUCCUGAGUACUUUGAAGUGACCCCGGAGGAAACAGCCUCAAGAGAGCCUUCUGUGUCUUUCAGACCAAGAAAUACGCUGAUGUGAUCAUCCCUCGAGGGGUUGAUAAUAUGGUGGCCAUCAACCUGAUCGUGCAGCACAUCCAGGACAUCCUCAAUGGUGACCUGUGCAAGCGGCACCGAGGAGGGCCCAACGGGCGCAACUACAAGAGGACCUUCCCGGAGCCAGGAGACCACCCUGGGGUGUUGGCCACUGGCAAACGCUCACACCUGGAGUCUAGCAGCAGACCCCAUUGAGGACCAGCAUAUGUAGGUUCCCCAUAGACCUGACAGAUAAAGGGUCUGGGCCUGGGGGACAACUACUGGCUCCUAAAAGCACAGUCAGGGAUCCCUCUAGUGUGAUCUUGGGUGGCAUCAGGACCAAAGCCUUCCUUGCAUAAGAGGGCAGACUCAUGCUGACCGAGCAUUCUGGUGUCCUCCGCUUCCUCUCGCUGGAGGAGGCCACAGGUCUCUGGGUGGGUCACUGUCCCAAACAGCAUAGUAAGCCUAUGGCGCCAGCUUCCCGAGGGAUGCAGGACAGACACAUGGGGCAACAGCGGAAACAGCCCAGGCACUGGCUGGCCUGGUGUUAAGACAGUGAACACCAGGGAAGUACUU
RNAcentral lists this long non-coding RNA (989 nucleotides) under Rattus norvegicus (Norway rat). Its description in RNAcentral is "long non-coding RNA NONRATT019172". Lineage: Eukaryota; Metazoa; Chordata; Mammalia; Rodentia; Muridae. The record is from RNAcentral.